Potamilus streckersoni is the source of this 66-nucleotide non-coding RNA. Lineage: Eukaryota; Metazoa; Mollusca; Bivalvia; Unionida; Unionidae. The record is from the annotation of a GenBank genome assembly.
GGGCCUAGUGGUUAGAGCGUCCACCUCGGAUUCGGGAGGUCGUGGGUUCAAUCCCCGGGCGAGUCA